GAUGAACGCUGGCGGCGUGCCUAAUACAUGCAAGUCGAGCGAACAGACGAGGAGCUUGCUCCUCUGACGUUAGCGGCGGACGGGUGAGUAACACGUGGAUAACCUACCUAUAAGACUGGGAUAACUUCGGGAAACCGGAGCUAAUACCGGAUAAUAUAUUGAACCGCAUGGUUCAAUAGUGAAAGACGGUUUUGCUGUCACUUAUAGAUGGAUCCGCGCCGCAUUAGCUAGUUGGUAAGGUAACGGCUUACCAAGGCGACGAUGCGUAGCCGACCUGAGAGGGGGAUCGGCCACACUGGAGCUGGGACGCGGUCCAGGCUCCUACGGGAGGCAGCAGUAGGGAAUCGGCCGCAAUGGGCGAAAGCCUGACGGAGCAGCGCCGCGUGAGUGAUGAAGGUCUUCGGAGCGUAAAGCUCUGUUAUUAGGGAAGAACAGAUGUGUAAGUAACUGUGCACGUCUUGACGGUACCGGGUCAGAAAGCCACGGCUAACUACGUG
This 497-nucleotide ribosomal RNA is filed under the name uncultured bacterium. Its description in RNAcentral is "partial 16S ribosomal RNA". It matches the Rfam family "Bacterial small subunit ribosomal RNA", at positions 28 to 507 of the family's 1533-position model. The record is from RNAcentral.